AUUGCCCUAGUAACGGCGAGUGAAGCGGCAACAGCUCAAAUUUGAAAUCUGGCUCUUUUAGAGUCCGAGUUGUAAUUUGCAGAGGGCGCUUUGGCUUUGGCAGCGGUCCAAGUUCCUUGGAACAGGACGUCACAGAGGGUGAGAAUCCCGUACGUGGUCGCUGGCUAUUGCCGUGUAAAGCCCCUUCGACGAGUCGAGUUGUUUGGGAAUGCAGCUCUAAAUGGGAGGUACAUUUCUUCUAAAGCUAAAUAUUGGCCAGAGACCGAUAGCGCACAAGUAGAGUGAUCGAAAGAUGAAAAGCACUUUGGAAAGAGAGUCAAACAGCACGUGAAAUUGUUGAAAGGGAAGCGCUUGCAGCCAGACUUGCUUGCAGUUGCUCAUCCGGGCUUUUGCCCGGUGCACUCUUCUGCAGGCAGGCCAGCAUCAGUUUGGGCGGUAAGAUAAAGGUCUCUGUCACGUACCUCUCUUCGGGGAGGCCUUAUAGGGGAGACGACAUAUUACCAGCCUGGACUGAGGUCCGCGCAUCUGCUAGGAUGCUGGCGUAAUGGCUGUAAGCGGCCCGUCUUGAAACACGGACCAAGGAGUCUAACAUCUAUGCGAGUGUUUGGGUGUCAAGCCCGAGCGCGUAAUGAAAGUGAACGGAGGUAGGAACCCGCAAGGGUGCACUAUCGACCGAUCCUGAUGUCUUCGGAAGGAUUUGAGUAAGAGCAUGGCUGUUGGGACCCGAAAGAUGGUGAACUAUGCUUGAAUAGGGUGAAGCCAGAGGAAACUCUGGUGGAGGCUCGCAGCGGUUCUGACGUGCAAAUCGAUCGUCAAAUUUGGGCAUAGGGGCGAAAGACUAAUCGAACUAUCUAGUAGCUGGUUCCUGCC
This 870-nucleotide ribosomal RNA is filed under the name Alternaria triticina. Its description in RNAcentral is "LSU rRNA". It matches the Rfam family "Eukaryotic large subunit ribosomal RNA", at positions 74 to 962 of the family's 3401-position model. The record is from RNAcentral. Lineage: Eukaryota; Fungi; Ascomycota; Dothideomycetes; Pleosporales; Pleosporaceae.